Long non-coding RNA from Mustela lutreola (European mink), 2595 nucleotides. RefSeq lists it as uncharacterized. The record is from RefSeq and is a predicted model, not a curated record. NCBI's taxonomy places the organism in Eukaryota, Metazoa, Chordata, Mammalia, Carnivora, Mustelidae. The transcript has 4 exons.
UUAGGUGGUUGCCUGGGAGACCGGACGUGGCGCCGGGGCCGUCGCAUCACACACAGCUGAUCCCACAGAAGCCCAGCGAGCGGGCGCCGCGUGGCGGAGUGAGCCGAAGCUGCAGCCUGGGCCCCGCGGGCGCGUGAGCUCGGUCACUCAGCUCAGGGCAGCCGCGCACAAGCUCCUCCACGGCCUGAUUGCCUGCGGGGCCCAGCGAGUGGACGGACGCAGGAGGCGGCGGACGCGGGAGGAGGCGCGGCAGUUGUACCGAGUUCUCCAGCGGAUCCUCAUGCAAGUGGUCCGCGGACCCCACGCCUCCCAGACCCAAGAUGAUUGUGACCAGAAAUCCGACCACGUGGGAGGUUGUGAAGUGUGUUCCGUGCCCAGCUGCUAGGAGACGGGGAGGGGAGAGAAGUGUCACAGCUGGUGCGGCUGGGCCGUAACGGACAGAAGCCGGGAGCGGGUAUGUCUGCCCCACCCAUGACGAGAAGGCCUCUCGGAAAUGCAGUCCGCUCACCUGUGACUCAGCAGACACUACUGUGGAGAAUGGAUUACUGCUUCCAUCUCAGGAAUCUCUCCUCCACAUACAACCGCAGUGACUUUAAAAUGUAAAAUCAGGGGGUGCCUGGGUGGCUCAGUCAGUUGAGCGUCUGCCUUCCCCUCAGAUCAUGAUCCCAGGGUCCUGGGAUCGAGUCCUAUGUCGGGCUCCCUGCUUAGCCGGGAGCCUGCUUCUCCCUCUGUCCCUCUCCUGGCUCAUGCUCUCUCUCUCUCAAAUACAAAAAGAAAAUCCUUAAAAAAUAAAAAAUAAAGUGUGAAAUCAGGGGCACCUGACUCUUGAUUUCAGCUCAGGUCAUGAUCUCAGGGUCGUGAAAUCGAGCCCUGUGUCGGGCUCCAUGCUCAGUGGGGUGUCUGCUUGAGAUUCUUCCCCUCUCCUUCUCCCUCACUCAAAUAAAUACAUCUUUUUAAAAAAUGUGAAAUCAAACCACGUCAUUCUCCAGUAAAGACUCACUACACUUAAAGUAAAAUCUCUUCAUUUGGCUUUUAAGGUCCUAUACAAUGUGGCCCUUCCUAGUUUCCCAAACUCUUGCCAUGUCACUCCCUAUCUUCUUGAGCUCUUCCUUUUUCCUGCCCCCAGUAUUGCUCGAGGAACUCAGGGGCCAUGCGUGUCUUGUGUGUAUUAGCCUGCCCGGGUCUAGGCUGGAUGGAGCACAGUAGACACAAUCGUUGGAAAGAAUGAAAGAAGCGGAGAGUCCGUAAUGCAGCAAGUGUCCAUUAGAGGGUUCCCUUAACCAUUGAGAACAAGACCAACUGUUCUACAAGCAGGUCCGCAGAAAAGGUCCUAAUGAAAGUAGACUGAUCAUAACACAGUAAACGCUUUCAAAAGGAGCACUCUACCAGCUAUGGACGCUUCCUUCCACCACAUGACCAGACUCCUUUCUGCAGACAGCAGAGGGGAUCCACACACAGCCACCCACAGCGAGGCCGCCUCCCUGCUCCUCAGGGUUCACACCUCCAAUACCGUCCUCAAAGGGCUGGGGUUAGGAGUACCAGAGACUGCACGUGGGGCCCUGAGCUCAUGUCUGCCACAUGGAAAUAAUAAAUGGCAGCUGCUGUUAUUUCAAAUCACUUAAUGAAAGUUAUUUUAUCUGUAAUAAAUGCUUUCUCCAAUCAUUUUCCUGCAUCCAAAUCCUACUUAAGGCCCGGUUCAAAUACUGCCGCCCAUCUAUACGGUGAGGAGACACGCUGGGUUCCCUACUCCCAAACCGCCCCCACCCCAGACUCCCCUUCACCUUCCCUUCACAGCCAAGCUUCUGAGCACAGUAGUCUAUGUGGCCAUUCAUUCAGUGACUAUGAUCAUUCGUUAGCACCUGCCACUAGGCUGAAACUCUGUUGCUAAAUCCAAUGAAAACCUUUUAGUCUUUUUUUUUUUAAAUUUUAUUUAUUUAUUUGAGAGAGCAUGAGAGAGGGGAAGUCAGAGGGAGAAGCCGACUCCCCAUGGGGCUGGGAGUCCCAUGCGGGACUCGAUUCCGGGACUCUGGGAUCAUGACCCGAGCCGAAGGCCGUUGCCUAACCACGUGAGCCACGCAGGUGCCAAAACCCUUUCAGUCUCUGACGUGCUUGCCGUCUCACUAGCUGCUGACACUGCCGAGCACUCCUGCCUCUGAAAACACUCUGCGCCCUGCUUCCUUCCCACCACUGGCCACUCCUUUCAUUCCCCGCUGCACACUGGGACCUCCACCCCCGCAUACAGCCCGCGAAUGCCGAAGUCCCACAGGUCUCUUGACUCUCUCAGGAGCUCCAAACCCAACCUUCCCAUCAGCAGCACAAAUUUAAAAUGGCAAAAAUGAACUCAGCAUCUUACUCUAUUACUGAAUCAUUGACCUUAAUGAAGCAGCACAAGCAUCCAGUCUGUGACUAGAACCACAAACCUCACACCCUGCGGAGGGGGCCCCAUCACCCCCCAGGGUCCUGGCUUCAAACCGCUUCAUUGCAAUGCUUCUGCCUUGGCUCCUCCUGCCUCGACGACUUCAAUAGUCUCCAGCCAGUCCCUCUGUUUUUUAAACAGCCUUAUUGAGAUAAUAAAUUCACAUACCAUAAAAUUCA